GAUGACUUAGCUCAAUGGUUCAGAGCAUUACGCUGAUACCGUAAAGGUUGAUGGUUCGAGUCCGUCAGUCAUCA
RNAcentral lists this transfer RNA (74 nucleotides) under Chitinophagaceae bacterium. RNAcentral describes it as "tRNA-Ile". It matches the Rfam family "tRNA". From Rfam's summary of the family: Transfer RNA (tRNA) molecules are approximately 80 nucleotides in length. Their secondary structure includes four short double-helical elements and three loops (D, anti-codon, and T loops). Lineage: Bacteria; Pseudomonadati; Bacteroidota; Chitinophagia; Chitinophagales; Chitinophagaceae. The record is from RNAcentral.